UACGAAGGGGGCUAGCGUUGCUCGGAAUUACUGGGCGUAAAGCGCACGUAGGCGGGUCGUUAAGUCGGGGGUGAAAUCCUGGAGCUCAACUCCAGAACUGCCCUCGAAACUGGCGAUCUUGAGUUCGGGAGAGGUGAGUGGAACUGCGAGUGUAGAGGUGAAAUUCGUAGAUAUUCGCAAGAACACCAGUGGCGAAGGCGGCUCGCUGGGCCGAUACUGACGCUGAGGUGCGAAAGCGUGGGGAGCAAACAGG
RNAcentral lists this ribosomal RNA (253 nucleotides) under uncultured bacterium. Its description in RNAcentral is "partial 16S ribosomal RNA". It matches the Rfam family "Bacterial small subunit ribosomal RNA", at positions 524 to 776 of the family's 1533-position model. The record is from RNAcentral.